CAUAUACUUAAACAAUUAUUACAAAUAGAUCCUUUUUGAUUUAAAAAAAAAAUAAAUCAUGCACAUGUGACUAUUGAUACCUUUUUAAUCUUUCUAAUUACAACUGCUCUAAUAAAAUAGCAACUAAAAGUAUAGUUGCCUGUGUUGAUUUUUCUUAAACUUGGUGUUCCAAAUCAAAAUUAAAACUGGCUAUUACAGCCAAACAUUUGAGAUGUUUUAUCAACAAUUUAAUAUUAUCCAUGUUACUGAGAUUUUUAUUAUUCCCAAGGAAACAGUACUGUGGAACUUUAAGUCUAUAUCUUUUAAAAAAAAUUUAAAUGUCAAAAACCUCUCUAAGUGUCUAUGGCACCCUACAAUCUAACAUACUCAUAAGAUAAAGGGAUCCACUUAUUGACACAUGGCAUGAUCCUGUUCAGAUACUUAAUAUGGGGGAAAGGGGACAAUAUUUCUGUUUUUUCCACAGAAUGCUACAAGAGCAUGCUAGCUCCCAGAAUGAUUCCUGUGACAGGCUGACCUGUGAGUUCCUGAGUGCCCUGACAGUGGUGACCAGAAAGCUGUAUUGAGUGC
This 567-nucleotide long non-coding RNA is filed under the name Mus musculus (house mouse). Its description in RNAcentral is "long non-coding RNA chr1:110175718-110176285". Lineage: Eukaryota; Metazoa; Chordata; Mammalia; Rodentia; Muridae. The record is from RNAcentral.